Molecule: unclassified non-coding RNA, 240 nt
Filed under: soil metagenome
Description: partial contains 5.8S ribosomal RNA, internal transcribed spacer 2, and large subunit ribosomal RNA
Source: RNAcentral
AAGACUAUAGACCUGCGGAGUACCUGCGGAGGAUCAUUAUCGUAUUGUAACAAUUGGGGGGGCCACCGUGGGCUGUCGCUGACCCUUUGAAAGGGGGGUCGUGCACGCCCCCAUAGUGUCAUCCUCAUACAAUCCAACUCACCUCUGUGCAUCACCGCGUGGGUUCCUUUCUGGGUCGAGUCAGACUGGCUCAGAAAAAAGGGGCUUGCGUUUUCCAUACAAAUACCCUUAUAAAUCCAG